GUUAUGGGUUAGGAUUAUGGGUUAGGGUUGGGGUUGGGUUUAGGGGUUGUGGGUUAGGAUUAUGGGUUAGGGUUGGGGUUGGGUUUAGGGGUUAUGGGUUAUGGGUUAGGGUUGUGGGUUAGGGUUGGGGUUGGGAUUAGGGGUUAUGGGUUAGGGGUUGGGGUUGGGAUUAGGGGUUAUGGGUUAGGGUUAUGGGUUAGGGUUGGGGUUGGGAUUAGGGGUUAUGGGUUAGGGUUGGGGUUGGGAUUAGGGGUUAUGUGUUAUGGGUUAGGGUUGGGGUUGGGGUUAUGGGUUAGGGUUAUGGGUUAGGGUUGGGGUUGGGGUUGGGGGUUAUGGGUUAUGGCUUAAGGCUGGGGUUGUGGUUAUGGGUUAUGAGUUAAGGUUAGGGUUGGAGUUGGUGUUAUGGGUUAUAGGUUAGUUUGAGGUUAGGAUUGGGAUUGGGGUUGGAGUUAGGGUGAGGUUUAGGGGUUAGAUUCAGGGUUAGGAUUAAGGGUUAGGGUGAAAUUUAAGGUUCCUAUUAGGAUCAGGACUGGGGCUACGGGUUAGAGUUAGGGGUCAGGAUGAAGGUUGGGGUUCAGGGUUAAGCUGAGGGUUGGUGUCAGGCUUAGGGGAGGG
Molecule: long non-coding RNA, 615 nt
Filed under: Gallus gallus (chicken)
Lineage: Eukaryota; Metazoa; Chordata; Aves; Galliformes; Phasianidae
Description: lncRNA (ENSGALG00010028704.1)
Source: RNAcentral